Misgurnus anguillicaudatus (oriental weatherfish) is the source of this 5505-nucleotide non-coding RNA. The record is from RefSeq and is a predicted model, not a curated record. Lineage: Eukaryota; Metazoa; Chordata; Actinopteri; Cypriniformes; Cobitidae.
UCCUCAGAGUGUAUAAUCUCCCUCUAUUGAAAAUUCGGUGGUACUGCAGCGCCAUACACGUUUCAGCCUUCAAUGGACGCGUUUGAUUGGUUGAAGGCUUUCCUGCUCAGCGAUUGGCUGCACCUGAUGUCGGUCAAACUCGAGGCGCUUCUGAUUGUCUGCAGGUGUGACGCAGUGAAUUUUUAAUUAGCUAAACUCCAGCAAAGUUUAUCGCUGUCGAUUGUGUCACCUGUGCAAGUUUAAGGUAAGUUUAAUAUAUGAUUUUUGAAGUUCAGUUUAUAUUUAGUCGUACAUUUUGUAACUUUAAUGUUUGUGUGCAUGUAGUAAGUUACAUUAAUAAGGCAUGAGAUUGUUAAUAAGGAGAAUGAGAUCGCAUUCAUUUGCUAUAUUAUCAUCAUGGUGGGUAGUAAAAUAGUUAAAUUAAAUGGAUUAUUAUUUUUCAGUUUUUAUAUUAUACAGAAAUAUGUGAAAAUGUAAACAGAAGCGAAUGAAAUUAAAUCGUCAGGUCGCGUAUGGCGUGGUCACGGUUUCAGUCAUGCACAUGGCAGCUCUUAAAAACAUAAUACUGUAAACAACCGCUUGAAAUAUACCCUGUAGUGAUUCUAGUGUUGUUUUAAAAGUAAUACUGUACAAUAAAUUGCAGCUUGCUGUGUUUCGCCAUCGUAAGUUGGCUUUAGGACAUAAACGUAAUUGACCAGGUGACGCGUCAUUCCAGCUGUUAUGGUUUUAUGAUUCAGAAAUAUUUUAUGUAACUGUAAUCUUAAAUCAAUAUUUGUAUUGUUUUGUCAUAAAACACCAACGUGACACUGCUUUACUUGUUUCUUCUGUUGAUGGUUUAGGCCAUAUAACGUUAUAUUGUUUUAUAUUGUUGUGUUAAUUAUUUACACUUUUCAUACAUAUAAACAUGCCAUUUACAUUUUACCAUUUGCUUAAUCUGACGUGGCAGACGUUCACCUUACAAAAAUAUUCAAACGUUAUGCCAUAGAGCCUAUUGUUUAUUUAGAAAUGCAUCUGACAAAAUUGUACUAAUGUAGUAUAAUGCAAGUAAUAUUUAUUAGGACCAUAUACUCCAUGUGUUCUUUGUUUCUAGUCAACAUGUUGAGAAAGAGGAGAAUUAAACCUGAACAGGAUGCCAAAGAGCAUGUGUUGUCAGGCAAAGACAAAGCCUUCAUUGAGAAACGAUACAUCAACGCAUUUAAAGGACGAGGUGUGUUUGCACUUGAACACAUUAAACCAUCCACAUUUGUUGUGGAAUAUCGUGGAGUACUGUCUCAAAGUAAAUAUGUUGAUGACAUUCAAGGCAACUACUUGUUCGAUUUCACAUGGAAUGGAGCACAUUAUUGCAUAGAUGCUUCAAAAGAGGAUGGAUCGCUAGGACGACUGGUGAACGAUGAUCACAAAAAUCCAAACUGCAAAGUCAAGACGGUUGUUGUUGAGGGAAAGCCACACCUGUGUCUAUUUAGUCUAAGAGACAUUUGUCCAGAUGAAGAAAUUAUUUACAAUUAUGGGGAUUCCUCUUGGCCCUGGCGUUCAGUAGAAUUGUGUGAUGAGAUAUCGGUGGCCGUGGAUGAAUCCAUUGAGGGUACUUCCUCAUCAGGAAAAGAGAAAGAAUUGUGUGAUGAGAUCCCAAAGGCCAUGGAUGAAUCCAUUGAGGCUCCUUCCUCAUCAGGAAAAGAGAAAGAAUUGUGUGAUGAGAUAUCGGUGGCCGUGGAUGAAUCCAUUGAAGGUCCUUCCUCAUCAGGAAAAGAGAAAUGCCAUCAUGAAGUUCAUUGUGCAGUAAUAUCCAGUUUGGAUUCUUGUGUAAAUUGCAGUGGACCCGUGUCUAGUCGAAAAUGGCUUGGCUUAACAUGCAAAUUGUGUUCAAGAACAUGGCACAAAACCUGCUUCAUGAAGAAUGAGAAAUUGAUGGAUGUUACAUUUUCCAGUUCUGAAGAAAGCAGUUCUGAUGAAGAGUAUACUCCCCAAGCCGAUAAAAGCAUUGAUGAAUCCUCUGAUGAAUUCAUCCCAGAUUCAAGACAAAACAGCGACAGCUGUGAUAGUCUAAUUAUCAAUACAAGGAAUCCACCAUAUUGUAAGACCACUCAACUUGUUUCAGAGUCUAAGAAGGCAAAGAGUGUGUCUCAACCCACUCACUGUUCAUCCACUGAGCAAGAUAUGGUCAGUGACAUAUCCAGCUCUGCUCAAGAUCUCAUAUGUAAUGAUCAAGACAAAACCACAAGCAAUACAGAGAUGCUUCAGAGUUUUAAGAAAACACCAACAGAGUCUUGUGAUAAACAGUCAAACCUCAAAGACACUUUUUCCACCCACGAAAAUUACUGUUAUGUGUGCAAGAAACCUCAGUCUAAAAUUGCCCGUCACUUUAAAAUUGCGGCUGCAUUUCUGCUUCCUAAACACUCCAAGGACAGAAAAAGGUUACUUGAGAAGCUCCGAAACAGAGGCAACUAUGAACAUAAUCAAGAGGUUAUGGAGAAUAAGAGUGGACCACUGAAGGUUAGAAGACGACCAGUAAGAUCCGAGAUCGAAUUGAGUACCAAAACAUACGUGCACUGCAUAUACUGUAAAGGCCUGUUUGUACGCAAGGAGUUGUGGCGCCAUACACGGAGAUGUCCUUCAAAGAUUUGUUCCGAAUCUGAAGCAACUGGUAAGGCCAAAGUUCUAGUUUUGGCUGAUAUCGCAGAGUCAACAUUCUCUCAAGCAAUCUCUCCUGAAGUGUGGAAAAUCUUGGGAAAUAUGAAGAAUGAUGACAUUUCAUCUGUUGUUCGAAAUGAUUUUCUCAUACUGCAGUUGAGUCAGAGUCUUUACAACAAACACGGAAGUGAUCCAACGAAAUUUGAAUACAUCAGACAGAAGGUACGGGAAGUGGGCAGACUCUUGCUAAGCAUGAGAAAAAAAUUCUCCAUACUUAGCUUUGAAGAUGCUUUGAAGCCGAACAAUUUUUACAAAGUCAUUGAGGCCGUGAAAGAUGUUGCUGGUUAUGAAGAAAAGAGCCACUCGUAUAAGACACCAAGUCUUGCACUGAAGUUAGGACAUUCACUUAACAAAAUUGCUGACAUCAUUCUCUGCAGGGCCAUCGCAAGAGAGGAUGAUGCUCUGAUGAAAGCAGCAGAGCGAUUCAAAAGACUCUGCUCAAGUGAAUGGGCAGAACAUGUCUCCCAUGCUGCUCUUGCUACUUUAAGCAAAUCAAAGUUUAACAAACCAUCUACCAUACCAUUCACACAUGAUGUGCAGCUUCUCCACCAGUGCCUAGAGAAGAAAUCAGCUGAGGCUUUUGAAAACCUGAAAAACCACGAGUCUUCACAGGCAUACGCAGAACUCGCCAAAGUGACACUGGCACAAGUAAUCAUCUUUAACCGACGUCGUGCAGGAGAAGUUUCAAAAAUGACACUUGAGUGUUUUAUGAAAAGAGACCAAACUGAGCUCCAUGAGGACAUAGCUCUUGGUCUAUCUCCGUUUGAGCAAAAAAUGUCCAAGCAUUUCAGCAGAGUAGAAAUAAUGGGCAAAAAAGGGAGAAAAGUUGCUGUUCUGCUAAGCCAUGAUCUUGUUGGAGCAAUACAACUUCUUGUGGACAAGAGAGAUUCAUGUGAAGUAGAUGGGGACAACCCCUUCCUAUUUGCAAGACCAAAGUGUUCAGCCACCAGUUUCUUCAGGGGACAAGACUGCAUCAGGCUUUUUGCAAAUCAGUGUGGUGCCCAGAACCCUGAAUAUCUCAGAUCUACACAACUCCGUAAGCAGGUUGCAACAAUGUCCCAGAUUCUUAAUCUAAAGGAUAAUGAGCUGGAUCAGCUUGCCAAUUUUUUGGGCCAUGACAUUCGGGUCCAUAGAGACUUUUAUCGGUUGCCAGAUGCAACUAUAGAAAUUGCAAAAAUCUCAAAGCUGCUACUGGCAAUGGAGAUAGGAACCCUUGGAAGUUUCCAAGGAAAGUCUCUUAGUGAAAUUGAGAUUGAAGAUGAAAUUGAUCCUGAAUUAGAUGAGGAAGAAGUAAGUGAUGAAGAAGACGAAGAAUCGGAUUCUCUCCAUGGAGUAAAUGGAAACAAAAAAAGGGUGGACCAUGUAAAGUCGACCCAGGAUGAGGAGACCGAAAGUUCCAACGGAAAACAAAAAAUGCCCCCCAAUGAACCAGUCAGCUCCACAGGAAAACGAAAAAUGCCCCCAAAUGACCCUGUCAGCUCCACAGAGGCCAAAUCAAGGAGAAUAGUGAAAAGGCCAUGGACUACCAAUGAAGUGAAUGCCGUUAUGAAACAUUUUAAAGUCCAAAUUUCAAAGGGACAUCUCGCAACAAAGGCAGAGUGUGAGCAGUGCAAGACUGCAGAGGACCCGGUGCUAAGAGAAAGAACUGUACAAAACAUCAGGGAUUUCGUGAGGAACCGAGGUUUGAUGUUGAAAAAAAAUUGUUCUUAGACAGAUCAUGGUCACCUUCUUUUAAGGUUUGUGGCUUUUGUUACUGUAAGUUUACAAGUUAAAUGACUGGCUGACUAUUGUUCUCUUGUUAAAACUUUAAAAUCUCUCAUUUCCUUAGUUAAACCCAGAUCGUCCUUACAAUACUAGAUCGUCAUGUACAUACACACAUUUAACUAACACCUGAUUGAGAGAACGAUUUGGGUUUAGCUAGAUAUCAUUCACAUACACGCACCUCAGAAACACUUAAUAAAUGUCCAUGUUAACCAAAAUUGUCCUCACAAUCAGGUAUUAGUUAGGUGCAUGUGUUUGUGUAUGUGAUUGAUGUCCAGGUAAACCCAAGUUGUCCUCACAAUUAAGUGUUAGUGAGGUGUAUGUUUGUGUAUGCGAAUGAUGUCCAGUUAAACACACAUUGUCCUCACAAUUAAGUGUUAGUGAGGUGUGUGUUUGUGUAUGUGAUUUGAUGUCCAGAUAAACCCAAAUUGUGCUCACAAUUAAGUGUUAAUGAGGUGUGUGUGUAUGCGAAUGAUGUCCAGGUAGAUCAAAAUUGUCCUCACAAUCAAGUGUUAGUUGUGCGUGUAUGUGUAUGCGAAUGAUGUCCAGGUAGAUCAAAAUUGUCCUCACAAUCAAGUGUUAGUUGUGCGUGUAUGUGUAUGCGAAAUGAUGUCCAGGUAAACACACAUUGUCCUCACAAUCAAGUGUUAGUUGUGCGUGUAUAUGUAUGCGAAUGAUGUCCAGGUAAAUCCAAAUUGUCCUCACAAUCAAGUGUUAGUUGUGCGUGUAUGUGUAUGCGAAUGAUGUCCAGGUAAACACACAUUGUCCUCACAAUCAAGUGUUAGUUGUGCGUGUAUAUGUAUGCGAAUGAUGUCCAGGUAAAUCCAAAUUGUCCUCACAAUUUAAGUGUUACUGAAGUGUGUGUGUAUGUGAAUGAUGUCCCAUUGAACCCAGGUUUAUUCCCAUAGUGAAGGGUUAGUUAUAUGUGAGAGUACAACACUACAAACCUUGGUUACUCUUGAAAUACCAUAUACAUGUUGAUGUAUAAAAAAUGUUUCGACAGACUGGUGUUAAGAUAUUGUUAACCCAAAAGUUAAUAAAAGGAAUUGAAAAGUU